This 1557-nucleotide ribosomal RNA is filed under the name Staphylococcus aureus. RNAcentral describes it as "16S ribosomal RNA". It matches the Rfam family "Bacterial small subunit ribosomal RNA". Lineage: Bacteria; Bacillati; Bacillota; Bacilli; Caryophanales; Staphylococcaceae. RNAcentral also lists the same sequence under 7 other names. The record is from RNAcentral.
UUUUAUGGAGAGUUUGAUCCUGGCUCAGGAUGAACGCUGGCGGCGUGCCUAAUACAUGCAAGUCGAGCGAACGGACGAGAAGCUUGCUUCUCUGAUGUUAGCGGCGGACGGGUGAGUAACACGUGGAUAACCUACCUAUAAGACUGGGAUAACUUCGGGAAACCGGAGCUAAUACCGGAUAAUAUUUUGAACCGCAUGGUUCAAAAGUGAAAGACGGUCUUGCUGUCACUUAUAGAUGGAUCCGCGCUGCAUUAGCUAGUUGGUAAGGUAACGGCUUACCAAGGCAACGAUGCAUAGCCGACCUGAGAGGGUGAUCGGCCACACUGGAACUGAGACACGGUCCAGACUCCUACGGGAGGCAGCAGUAGGGAAUCUUCCGCAAUGGGCGAAAGCCUGACGGAGCAACGCCGCGUGAGUGAUGAAGGUCUUCGGAUCGUAAAACUCUGUUAUUAGGGAAGAACAUAUGUGUAAGUAACUGUGCACAUCUUGACGGUACCUAAUCAGAAAGCCACGGCUAACUACGUGCCAGCAGCCGCGGUAAUACGUAGGUGGCAAGCGUUAUCCGGAAUUAUUGGGCGUAAAGCGCGCGUAGGCGGUUUUUUAAGUCUGAUGUGAAAGCCCACGGCUCAACCGUGGAGGGUCAUUGGAAACUGGAAAACUUGAGUGCAGAAGAGGAAAGUGGAAUUCCAUGUGUAGCGGUGAAAUGCGCAGAGAUAUGGAGGAACACCAGUGGCGAAGGCGACUUUCUGGUCUGUAACUGACGCUGAUGUGCGAAAGCGUGGGGAUCAAACAGGAUUAGAUACCCUGGUAGUCCACGCCGUAAACGAUGAGUGCUAAGUGUUAGGGGGUUUCCGCCCCUUAGUGCUGCAGCUAACGCAUUAAGCACUCCGCCUGGGGAGUACGACCGCAAGGUUGAAACUCAAAGGAAUUGACGGGGACCCGCACAAGCGGUGGAGCAUGUGGUUUAAUUCGAAGCAACGCGAAGAACCUUACCAAAUCUUGACAUCCUUUGACAACUCUAGAGAUAGAGCUUUCCCCUUCGGGGGACAAAGUGACAGGUGGUGCAUGGUUGUCGUCAGCUCGUGUCGUGAGAUGUUGGGUUAAGUCCCGCAACGAGCGCAACCCUUAAGCUUAGUUGCCAUCAUUAAGUUGGGCACUCUAAGUUGACUGCCGGUGACAAACCGGAGGAAGGUGGGGAUGACGUCAAAUCAUCAUGCCCCUUAUGAUUUGGGCUACACACGUGCUACAAUGGACAAUACAAAGGGCAGCGAAACCGCGAGGUCAAGCAAAUCCCAUAAAGUUGUUCUCAGUUCGGAUUGUAGUCUGCAACUCGACUACAUGAAGCUGGAAUCGCUAGUAAUCGUAGAUCAGCAUGCUACGGUGAAUACGUUCCCGGGUCUUGUACACACCGCCCGUCACACCACGAGAGUUUGUAACACCCGAAGCCGGUGGAGUAACCUUUUAGGAGCUAGCCGUCGAAGGUGGGACAAAUGAUUGGGGUGAAGUCGUAACAAGGUAGCCGUAUCGGAAGGUGCGGCUGGAUCACCUCCUUUCUAA